GUGGGGAAUCUUAGACAAUGGGGGAAACCCUGAUCUAGCCAUGCCGCGUGAUCGAUGAAGGCCUUAGGGUUGUAAAGAUCUUUCAGGUGGGAAGAUAAUGACUGUACCACCAGAAGAAGCCCCGGCUAACUCCGUGCCAGCAGCCGCGGUAAUACGGAGGGGGCUAGCGUUGUUCGGAAUUACUGGGCGUAAAGCGCACGUAGGCGGAUUGGAAAGUUGGGGGUGAAAUCCCGGGGCUCAACCCCGGAACUGCCUUCAAAACUCCCAGUCUUGAGUUCGAGAGAGGUGAGUGGAAUUCCGAGUGUAGAGGUGAAAUUCGUAGAUAUUCGGAGGAACACCAGUGGCGAAGGCGGCUCACUGGCUCGAUACUGACGCUGAGGUGCGAAAGCGUGGGGAGCAAACAGGAUUAGAAACCCGAGUAGUCC
RNAcentral lists this ribosomal RNA (425 nucleotides) under uncultured bacterium. RNAcentral's name for it is "partial 16S ribosomal RNA". It matches the Rfam family "Bacterial small subunit ribosomal RNA", at positions 354 to 796 of the family's 1533-position model. The record is from RNAcentral.